Molecule: microRNA precursor, 54 nt
Filed under: Paramuricea clavata
Lineage: Eukaryota; Metazoa; Cnidaria; Anthozoa; Malacalcyonacea; Plexauridae
Source: RNAcentral
CCAGGCUCUUUCCUCUACGCUUCCAGCUAGGAGCGUAGAGGAAAGAGCCUGGGA